Molecule: long non-coding RNA, 483 nt
Filed under: Prunus dulcis (almond)
Lineage: Eukaryota; Viridiplantae; Streptophyta; Magnoliopsida; Rosales; Rosaceae
Description: sRNA ncRNA
Source: RNAcentral
CGGGGGGCUGGAUCUCCCAAGUAGGUUCAAUGAUUUUCAAAACGGGGGGCUGGAUCUCCCAAGAAGGUUAAGUUUGAACUUUGGUUAUGAUUAUCGGCAAUGAUUUUCAGGUAUUGGUUUUGAUCAUGCAAUUAAAAUGUCUUAUCCACAUCACUUUUUUGGAUUAUGUGCAGCCCAAGCUGAUUAAUAGUAUGGGCACGCGUGAUGACACAUCAAAGGAAAUGUAAUCUUUCAUGACAUCAUGAUUGCGAUUAAUGUUUGUUUUGUUUGUUUGUAAACGAUAACAAAGUGUCAAAGAUACUAAUUAGUGUAUGUAAGAUCACUCUAGUGGACGUGAGAAUCCAAUAUCCUUACAAUAUUAGUAAGCACAAGAAAAUCUGUAACCAAUAAUUUGCAAAAUAGUGUUUGGUUAUCAUAUAAUUUGAGAAAUUAUAAGAUACCAUCAGAAUACACAACUAAAUAAUAUUAUAUUAUGUGUUGAGC